GAAUCGCAUGGUUUUCAUAUUAAAGUUCCAACGGUGAAAGAUGGGCAUGCGUCCCAUUAGCUAGAUGGUAAGNNAACGGCUUACCAUGGCAACGAUGGGUAGGGGUCCUGAGAGGGAGAUCCCCCACACUGGUACUGAGACACGGACCAGACUCCUACGGGAGGCAGCAGUGAGGAAUAUUGGUCAAUGGGCGCAAGCCUGAACCAGCCAUGCCGCGUGCAGGAUGAAGCAUCUAUGGUGUGUAAACUGCUUUUGUACGGGAAGAAACAGAGGUUCGUGAACCUCCUUGACGGUACCGUAAGAAUAAGGAUCGGCUAACUCCGUGCCAGCAGCCGCGGUAAUACGGAGGAUCCAAGCGUUAUCCGGAAUCAUUGGGUUUAAAGGGUCCGUAGGCGGCCUUAUAAGUCAGCGGUGAAAUCUCCCGGCUCAACCGGGAAAUGGCCAUUGAUACUGUAGGGCUUGAAUUACUAGGAAGUAACUAGAAUAUGUAGUGUAGCGGUGAAAUGCUUAGAGAUUACAUGGAAUACCAAUUGCGAAGGCAAGUUACUACUAGUGGAUUGACGCUGAUGGACGAAAGCGUGGGUAGCGAACAGGAUUAGAUACCCUGGUAGUCCACGCCGUAAACGAUGGAUACUAGCUGUUGGGAGUAAUCUCAGUGGCUAAGCGAAAGUGAUAAGUAU
Molecule: ribosomal RNA, 680 nt
Filed under: uncultured Bacteroidota bacterium
Lineage: Bacteria; Pseudomonadati; Bacteroidota
Description: bacterial SSU rRNA
Rfam family: Bacterial small subunit ribosomal RNA
Source: RNAcentral